Molecule: long non-coding RNA, 901 nt
Organism: Oreochromis aureus
Lineage: Eukaryota; Metazoa; Chordata; Actinopteri; Cichliformes; Cichlidae
Source: Ensembl
AUCCCAGAAUCCAUUUCGCAAGAGUUCUGUGGAAAUGGUUGAGGAGAAGACCCACAAAAGUUAAAUACUUCUAUAGUUGUAAUAUGCAGUGUAUUUUCAAUGCAUUUUUAUGUGAGAAUAUAGGUAUUUAAAAUUCUAAUGUUUAGUACAUUUAACAGUAGAGACACUUAUAAAUUUCCUGUGCUUUUUUUCGGAGACACCUUGCCUGCCAAAUAGCAAGCACGAGGUUCAGUGUGCCCGAAGAAAACUGCCUUAUCUCGACAUUUCAUUUGGAAAUUUGCCACAAUCUUUAAAGGCUCUGAUAUAAAUCGCUUUGGACACGCGAGGAAACACGGGCUCUCAUUGAGUGGCGGGCAGCAAAUGAGAGUCUUUUUACUGGAAGGAGAAAUUCCUGCAAGACUAGAUGAGAGGACUUUGUUAGCUCUUCAGGCUAUAACAGCAAAACAAGCAAAAAAAGUGGAACAACCUGAAGGCCAAAUACAAGGGACCCAUCUACAGGGAAGGGUGUAGAGGCAGGUAGCCCGACUGCCACCACCUGGCAGCGGUACAAUAUGAUGGAUGCUGUGCUCCAGUGGCAGCGCUCAAAAAGUCUACCAGCAACCUGACUUUCACAACAGGUGAUGCAAUCAGCGCUACACCCUCGACCCCUUCUACAGAAGAGGCCCAGGGACAGCCAGGCUAUCCGUUUUUAAAGGACCAACCAGAAAGAGAGGAAGACAGAGAGAGAGACAGGCUCCGGCUAGGGAGGAAGAGAGGGAGAGGGCAGCUACUCAAAGGGCAGAGUGAUAUCGGUCACUAUUUGAGAAACUUGUUGACAAACUUUAAAUAAAGCACUUUAAAUGUCAAAUGUGAAGUGAGAUUUUUCUGUCAGGGUGAUCUCUUUACUAAAACUUACACUUGU